UCUCUCUAUAAAAUUGGACACCAGAGGGUCUCUGGGUGAGCGCCUCAAAUCUCUGCGUUUCGCAUUCUCGCGCCAUCUCUGAGACGUUCGUUUGUGACUGACCCCCAGGCGCGGAGGGGGCACGCGGACUGGCACCGCCCUCCGUGAGUGUCCGCAACAUUUUCCCCUCGUAUUGCACACAAGUUCGCAUGUACUUUUGCGUUCUGCCAAACCCGUUCCUCUCGUUUCUCUCCUCUCGGCGCGCUAUCUUCUUCUCGGUUUUCAUUGGCGCCGUGCACUUUUAGAUGUGUU
Molecule: non-coding RNA, 291 nt
Organism: Caenorhabditis elegans
Lineage: Eukaryota; Metazoa; Nematoda; Chromadorea; Rhabditida; Rhabditidae
Source: Ensembl